Molecule: non-coding RNA, 622 nt
Organism: Rattus norvegicus (Norway rat)
Lineage: Eukaryota; Metazoa; Chordata; Mammalia; Rodentia; Muridae
Source: RefSeq, a predicted model, not a curated record
UCCUAAGAAGAAACACAGAAUUAGGAGACUGGAAAUUCCAUCAUCACUAGUUCUGCCCUGCUACUUCAGUCAACUGUGCUUUAAACAUAAAACCAGUCACAGGGGAAUCCAUUUUUUCUUCUUUCCACCAUUUUCAAAGGAGACACUUAGAGAAGUUCUCAAAGUGCAUGCAGUCAUGGUUCCUACAUGGCUUCUGAGCUAACUGCCACCAAAGCUUGGGCAAGAGUACAUCUUAAACCAUGCUGAUUGAUGUUGGAACAGUCACUAAUGCACUGCUCAUAGAAAUGAAGUAUAUUUUCAAGGUUUGUCAAAGUAUGAAAACAUUAGUAUUUACUUGGGCCAAUCUAAUUAGAUAGAUUAGGGUCAAUAAUUUCUGACAUAACAUUUCAAACUAAAAGCUUUCAGGCUAGGCACUUUGGCAGCAGAAAUUAUUCCUUGUCCUUUAGAUCUCUGGGCCCACUUAUACUAUGAAGCAGCCCUGGAUGGAAACAGAUUCUACACCAGCUGAGGCCCUCCACUAUCUGACUAAGUGAGUUUCUGGAAUUCAGAAUGCUGGAUGAGCUUUCAAGCGACCAAAACAGAGGCUAACAACAUGCCAUCAGGAGAACAACUUAAUCUCACC